UACUAUCAUGCAGGUUUAAGACAAUUUGAUUUGUACUUUCGUUUUCUUCCAAAUACCACAUUUCAAGUAACUGAUUGACAGAUUUCAAUCCAGCUAGUAUAAUUAUUUACAAAUAGUAAAAAUUAUGAAUUAUUUUAUAGUUCUAAGAUCAUGGUGAUUUAUCUUUUGUAAACGAAACUUUGUGCGAAAGGAUCUAAUUUAUGCAUAAUUAUUUGAAUAUUUUGAGCUGCUGAGUUUAUGUAUACCAAUGUUUGAAAUAGAUGUUGGUGUCCCUGGGAAGUGGACCAUGGGAUCAGCUAUUUGGUGGAGGAAACUCCAGCCUUUGGUGUGGCAGCUGUUGCAGCCCUUGCCAGUGGACUCAUAGCUGUCUUGUUUAUUCCCCGACCUGGUGGUCAAAAGCCAAGCCUAGAAGCCCAGUAUGAGGUAUUAUGUUCUUUCUGCAUUUGGCACUGAUUUGUUUUGAAAGAGGGAUGAUGAAAAUGAACAGGUAGCAAUAAUUUGUAAAUAGUUUUGUUUUACUUUUGUUUGAUUGUAGUCUUUAUAUUGAGGCUUCCAUUCAUCGAAAUACCCCCACCAGCCUGCCCAAUUUUUUUGUAAUUUUGAAUAAUUGUUACAUGGAUAUAUUUUCAUCUUACCGGUUAUUAUUUAUAGCCGUUGAGCAAAUUUUGAGUGUCAUUAUUUUCUGAUAUUUUGGAAGCUUUUGGCUCUCUCCUUUGUCAUCCUGAUGAGUGAGUAGCCUGUUUAAAACAGUGAGAAUGCUCUGCUUUGUUAAAU
This 774-nucleotide long non-coding RNA is filed under the name Glycine max (soybean). Its description in RNAcentral is "long non-coding RNA (GMAX_LNC001191)". Lineage: Eukaryota; Viridiplantae; Streptophyta; Magnoliopsida; Fabales; Fabaceae. The record is from RNAcentral.